Molecule: non-coding RNA, 99 nt
Organism: Dipodomys ordii (Ord's kangaroo rat)
Lineage: Eukaryota; Metazoa; Chordata; Mammalia; Rodentia; Heteromyidae
Source: Rfam
CUUGCAAAACUAGGUGAAGGAGGUGGUUCUGCUCGGCACUCAGCAGUGGCCACAUCUCCACCUGAAGCGACUUGACUGCUUCCGUGUCCUUCUCAUGGG